RNAcentral lists this unclassified non-coding RNA (426 nucleotides) under plant metagenome. RNAcentral describes it as "partial contains small subunit ribosomal RNA, internal transcribed spacer 1, and 5.8S ribosomal RNA". The record is from RNAcentral.
UUUUCAUAAUGAACAAGAGUAUCCUUCAUUGAAGCCUUGUAGUCUCAGUCAACUAGAAGUUUCAGUUGGCAACACUGUCCCUAUGCUUGGAUGUCAUUAUAGACAACCAGCAGCUUUGCCUCGUCAAAGUUCACAGAUCAAACGACGGUGGUCCAAAUCUAGGAUUAAAAUAUGACCGGCCUGCUCCUGAAAGGGGACAGACUGUGCGUUCCGUAGGUGAACCUGCGGAAGGAUCAUUACUGAGAACUUGCCCUUAGGGGUAGAUCUCCCACCCUAUGUUUACAUACUUUGUUGCUUUGGCAGGCCUGCCUUUUGGCUGCUGGCUUCGGCUAGUUAGUGUCUGCCAGAGAACCAACACUAUGAUUAAUUUAAUGUCAGAGUACCAUUCAAUAGUUAAAACUUUCAACAACGGAUCUCUUGGUUCUG